UACGUAGGGGGCAAGCGUUGUUCGGAAUUACUGGGCGUAAAGGGCUCGUAGGCGGCCAACUAAGUCGGAUGUGAAAUCCCCAGGCUCAACUUGGGAACUGCAUCCGAUACUGGAUGGCUUGAAUCCGGGAGAGGGAUGCAGAAUUCCAGGUGUAGCGGUGAAAUGCGUAGAUAUCGAGAGGAACACCUGCGGCGAAGGCGGGUUGCUGGGCUGACACUGACGCUGAUGCGCGAAAGCUAGGGGAGCGAACGGG
RNAcentral lists this ribosomal RNA (253 nucleotides) under uncultured bacterium. Its description in RNAcentral is "partial 16S ribosomal RNA". It matches the Rfam family "Bacterial small subunit ribosomal RNA", at positions 524 to 776 of the family's 1533-position model. The record is from RNAcentral.